CCGCAGUCUGCCGUUGGCACGAGAAAGGAGCACAGAAAGAGCCCCUCAGAUUCACGUGUGACCUCUGCAUGCUGGCUUGGGCAGGACUGGCUGGCCUCCGGGAGUCUGCACUGAGAGUGUCUUUCAUCUGGGAUCAGCCUCAAUCUAACCAAGUGGUGCACCCGAGGAGCUUGGCAUUAACCAACAACACACCACACUACACACCACACACCACAACAGCACACCCACACACACGCUCGAGACAGUGUGUGCCAUGCAGGGCCACACUGCUGCACCCACAGUGAGGGUGCCCAGGAGCCACGGUCUGUUGUGGGCACACCCUCACGUGCUGGAGGCUCGGUCACUCGGAGUCCCGCCUUGGGGCAUCAGCUCCGUUUGCUAAUGGGACACAGAUGCUCAGAAAGGCUAAAUGAUUCAGUAAGCAGAAGCCAUCCAAGUGAGAAUGGAGCAUGGAAUCCAAACCCGCACUGCAGGAGAGGCCUCUUCCUCUUCCGUGUGCUCCCAAGGAGGCAGGCCUGUGGGAACAGAGGCCUCACCCCGCCAGUGGCCCUGGGCCUGCAUCUGGACAGCCAGGCCAGCCUGUCUCCAGUCUGAGUGCUUCUGCCCCUCGGGUUUUGUGAGAUGGGAACCAGAGCAGAAGAUGGUGGCUGCCGAGUUUUAUCUUGGCAAAGUAAGGAUUUUUAAAAACCAACAUAAUUCCCAAAUGAAUAUAUACUGUCUACUACUCCCUAAGUUCAUAAAAGGAGAAAAUAAAAAAGAACAGUGACUAAAUGAGAG
RNAcentral lists this long non-coding RNA (777 nucleotides) under Heterocephalus glaber (naked mole-rat). Its description in RNAcentral is "lncRNA (ENSHGLG00100033279.1)". Lineage: Eukaryota; Metazoa; Chordata; Mammalia; Rodentia; Bathyergidae. The record is from RNAcentral.